GAUGAACGCUGGCGGCGUGCCUAAUACAUGCAAGUCGAACGAACAGACGAGGAGCUUGCUCCUCUGACGUUAGCGGCGGACGGGUGAGUAACACGUGGAUCACCUACCUAUAAGUCUUGGAUAACUUCGUGAAACCGGAUCUAAUACCGGAUAAUAUAUUGCACCGCAUGGUUCAAUGGUUAAAGACGGCUUUGCUGUCACUUAUAGAUGGUUCCGCGCCGCAUUAGCUAGUUGGUAAGGUAACGGCUUACCAAGGCAACGAUGCGUAGCCGACCUGAGAGGGUGAUCGGCCACACUGGAACUGAGACACGGUCCAGACUCCUACGGGAGGCAGCAGUAGGGAAUAUUACGCAAUGGGCGAAAGCCUGACGGAGCAACGCCGCGUGAGUGAUGAAGGUCUUCGGAUCGUAAAGCUCUGUUAUUAGGGAAGAACAAAUGUGUAAGUAAAUAUGCACGUAUUGACGGUACCUAAUCAGAAAGCCACGGCUAACUACGUG
This 497-nucleotide ribosomal RNA is filed under the name uncultured bacterium. RNAcentral describes it as "partial 16S ribosomal RNA". It matches the Rfam family "Bacterial small subunit ribosomal RNA", at positions 28 to 507 of the family's 1533-position model. The record is from RNAcentral.